This 253-nucleotide ribosomal RNA is filed under the name uncultured bacterium. Its description in RNAcentral is "partial 16S ribosomal RNA". It matches the Rfam family "Bacterial small subunit ribosomal RNA", at positions 524 to 776 of the family's 1533-position model. The record is from RNAcentral.
UACGAAGGGGGCUAGCGUUGUUCGGAAUUACUGGGCGUAAAGCGCACGUAGGCGGACUUUUAAGUCAGGGGUGAAAUCCCGGGGCUCAACCCCGGAACUGCCUUUGAUACUGGAAGUCUUGAGUGUGGUAGAGGUGAGUGGAAUUGCGAGUGUAGAGGUGAAAUUCGUAGAUAUUCGCAGGAACACCAGUGGCGAAGGCGGCUCACUGGACCACAACUGGCGCUGAGGUGCGAAAGCGUGGGGAGCAAACAGG